This 175-nucleotide small RNA is filed under the name Chelonoidis abingdonii (Abingdon island giant tortoise). RNAcentral's name for it is "TUC338 (ENSCABG00000009787.1)". Lineage: Eukaryota; Metazoa; Chordata; Testudines; Testudinidae. The record is from RNAcentral.
AUGGCACUAGAGACUGGAGACCUGUAUUUAUCCACAGAACAAGUUCUGCACAUGCAGCAGUGAUGAAAGCUUGCCCACAUUGCCCUGCCACUGUGCCUCCACUCUCUCCUGGCUGGAGCACUUUUGAAGGUUUGAGCAUGGUUCAGAUUCCAAAAGGUUCCAAUUAAAUAUCAAG